AACGAACGCUGGCGGCAUGCCUAACACAUGCAAGUCGAACGAGACCUUCGGGUUUAGUGGCGCACGGGUGCGUAACGCGGGGGAACCUGCCCUUAGGUUCGGAAUAACUCCCCGAAAGGGGUGCUAAUACCGGAUAAUGUCUUCGGACCAAAGAUUUAUCGCCUUUGGUUGGGCCCGCGUUGGAUUAGCUUGUUGGUAGGGUAAAAGCCUACCAAGGGGACGAUCCAUAGCUGGUCUGAGAGGAUGAGCAGCCACACUGGGACUGGGACACGGCCCGGACUCCUACGGGAGGCAGCAGUGGGGAAUAUUGGACAAUGGGCGAAAGCCUGAUCCAGCAAUGCCGCGUGAGUGAUGAAGGCCGUAGGGUUGUAAAGCUCUUUUACCCGGGAUGAUAAUGACAGUACCGGGAGAAUAAGCACCGGCUAACUCCGUG
RNAcentral lists this ribosomal RNA (433 nucleotides) under uncultured bacterium. RNAcentral's name for it is "partial 16S ribosomal RNA". It matches the Rfam family "Bacterial small subunit ribosomal RNA", at positions 29 to 507 of the family's 1533-position model. The record is from RNAcentral.